AACGAACGCUGGCGGCAGGCCUAAUACAUGCAAGUCGAGCGCUUGUAGCAAUACAGGAGCGGCGGACGGGUGAGUAACACGUGGGAACAUGCCUUUCGGUUCGGAAUAACGCAGGGAAACUUAGCGCUAAUACCGGAUGCGCCCUAACGGGGAAAGAUUUAUCGCGAAAGAUUGGCCGCGUCCGAUUAGCUUGUUGGCGGGGUAACGGGCCCGACCAACGGACGACGAUCGGUAGCUGGUUUGAGAGAACGAUCAGCCACACUGGGACUGAGACACGGCCCAGACUCCUACGGGAGG
RNAcentral lists this ribosomal RNA (297 nucleotides) under uncultured bacterium. RNAcentral describes it as "partial 16S ribosomal RNA". It matches the Rfam family "Bacterial small subunit ribosomal RNA", at positions 29 to 348 of the family's 1533-position model. The record is from RNAcentral.